CAGCAGCAUUUCAAGUUAUAGCUCAAGUUCUUCAAGCUUACGAGGUCCAUCGAGUAGUUCAAGAAGCUCGUCAAGCUCUUUAUUAUCCCCAAGCAUCAGUAUCCCAAGCUCAAGCUCUAGUUCUUCAAGCAGCAUUAGCAGCAGCAGCAGUAGCAG
Homarus americanus (American lobster) is the source of this 156-nucleotide long non-coding RNA. RefSeq lists it as uncharacterized. The transcript has 3 exons. The record is from RefSeq and is a predicted model, not a curated record. Lineage: Eukaryota; Metazoa; Arthropoda; Malacostraca; Decapoda; Nephropidae.